Molecule: long non-coding RNA, 347 nt
Organism: Saccostrea cuccullata (small rock oyster)
Lineage: Eukaryota; Metazoa; Mollusca; Bivalvia; Ostreida; Ostreidae
Exons: 2
Source: RefSeq, a predicted model, not a curated record
CCUGUUCUGUGGAUGCCCUAAGACAGUGUCUACCCAUCACUCCAUCUGAAAUCACUUGUUCUGUGCAUAUUUCUCUCUCAAACUUAAACUACAAAGAGCCUGUGAAUAGAGGAUGAAGAGUGACCUUGGACUAAUUUUCUAGGUCAAAGAUCAUAGGUGAUGUGAAGAAAACCAGGAAACUGAUGUUGAAAGAAGUACUUAAUGACCCGUAUGAAUGGACUUAAAUGUGAAAGACUGUUCCAUUGUUUAUCUAAGAUAUAUGAAUUUAUUUAAUAUUUUGAUAUCAUUGAAAAAUUCAGUUACAGUUUUUGUACAUCAAAUGAAUUAUUAAACAUAUAAAAUGGUAA